UUUGGGCAUGUUUUUUUGCAAAGUAAGAAGUAAUAUAGUAUGAGAGCAUUAAGUAUGCUUUUUAUUUGCUUGUAUAUAUAUAAGAGUACAUAAUAGUAAGAGUAAAACAUGUUGAUAGAUCAUAAGAUGUCGUGUGAUAUUGAAGAUACCGAUUCAUUAUGAUCAUUUAGUUGGAGGUGGAGGUGGAGGUGGAGAUGGAGGUGGAGGUGGAGAUAGAGAUGGAGGUGGAGGUGGAGGUGAAGAUGAAGGUCGAAUAGAACAAGUUCUUCGGCAUAAGGUUACUUCAUGAGAGCAGUUUGAACGACAUUUAUAAUCUUCAGGCGUUGAACAUUGUGAAAAGCAAUUGUAAAGUCCAGCGUCACAAGUAAAUUCACAUAUGAUAUAAUUAUCUUUUGGCGAUAAUGGUGUACUUGGUGAAAGUGCAGGCGCUGGUGGUGGUGGUGGUGGCAGUGGAGUUUCUGGCCUAUAACAAAUUCUUUGGCAUAUUCUGAUUUUAUUGGAGCAUGACACACGACAAAUGAAAAUAUCAAUGUUGUAUAUAUAACAAUCUGCCUCACAUGUAUAGUAUUGAGAUUCACAUAUAUAUAUGCAUUUAAGUAAAACAUCGUGUGCAGACAGUGGUGGAGAUGGUGAUUGUGGAGGCGGUGGUGGAGAUAGUGCUUGUGGAGGCGGUGGUGGAGAUAGUGCUUGUGGAGGCGGUGGUGGAGAUAGUGAUUGUGGAGGCGGUGGUGGAGAUAGUGAUUGUCGAAUUCCUUGUCCUGAGGCUGUUAGUAUGAACAUGGAAAUCACAGAAAGUACAACAAAAAAGGAGACAACACCGGAUCCAUGAGAAGCCAUGGAUGACCAGGAAGGGUAAAAUAGGUUAUCAAAGAUCUGAUUGUGUAUGAAUUGAUCGAUAAAGUUGAUGGAAAUAUUACUUUCUUUGAUAUGUUUAUAUAGACUCAUGUAUCGAUGUGAA
RNAcentral lists this long non-coding RNA (958 nucleotides) under Zostera marina. RNAcentral describes it as "long non-coding RNA (ZMAR_LNC003800)". Lineage: Eukaryota; Viridiplantae; Streptophyta; Magnoliopsida; Alismatales; Zosteraceae. The record is from RNAcentral.